AUGUCGGGCAGCGGCGGCGGCGGGCGGCGGGGCUGGAGCCCGUUCGACGCGAUCCGGAGCUUCCCUUCGAAUCCCGAGUCCCUCAUGUCCCAGAUCGACGCCGCCAUCGCCUCCACGGAGUACGCCCGCGCCUGCGCCCUCCUCGACCCCGCCCCCGCCUCCACCUCCUCGCGGCCUCCGCGCGGCAAGGGAGGGAAGGAGGAGGAGGCGACGCCCGCCCCGCGGGCGCCUCCUACCCCUGCCGCCGCCUGCCACGACGCGCGGGUCGCGGACGAGGCGUACCGCGCGGCGUGCGCGGCGCUCGGGGCCGGGCGGCCGGACGCGGCCGUGCGGUCGCUGCGGGCGGCGCUGGCCAGCUGCCCGCCGGAGAACGCCGCGGCGGUCGCCAAGGUGAGGUCGAUGCUGGCCAUCGCGUCCGCGCAGCUGCACAGGCAGCAGCACCAGGCUCAGCAGCAGAGCGGCAGGAAAUGA
Molecule: ribosomal RNA, 471 nt
Filed under: Triticum aestivum (bread wheat)
Lineage: Eukaryota; Viridiplantae; Streptophyta; Magnoliopsida; Poales; Poaceae
Description: partial small subunit ribosomal RNA
Source: RNAcentral